AUAGCUUCUCAACCUUUUGGCUAAGAUCAAGUGUAGCAUCUGUUCUUCUCAUUUUAAUAUCUGAUACAUCCUUUAUGUGAGGACAAUAUAUUAAAUGGAUUUUUGGAGAGUUGAUGAUGGACAGGGAAGCCUGGCAUCCUGCAGUCCAUGGGGUUGCAAAUAGUCGGACCCAACUGAGCAACUGAAC
RNAcentral lists this small nuclear RNA (187 nucleotides) under Capra hircus (goat). RNAcentral describes it as "U2 spliceosomal RNA (ENSCHIG00000001614.1)". The stretch from base 1 to 164 matches the Rfam family "U2 spliceosomal RNA". Rfam says of the family: U2 is a small nuclear RNA (snRNA) component of the spliceosome (involved in pre-mRNA splicing). Lineage: Eukaryota; Metazoa; Chordata; Mammalia; Artiodactyla; Bovidae. The record is from RNAcentral.